Molecule: transfer RNA, 72 nt
Filed under: Cordylochernes scorpioides
Lineage: Eukaryota; Metazoa; Arthropoda; Arachnida; Pseudoscorpiones; Chernetidae
Description: tRNA-iMet
Rfam family: tRNA
About the family: Transfer RNA (tRNA) molecules are approximately 80 nucleotides in length. Their secondary structure includes four short double-helical elements and three loops (D, anti-codon, and T loops).
Source: RNAcentral
AGCAGGGUAGCAUAGUGGAAGCGUGCUGGGCCCAUAACCCAGAGGUCCGUGGAACGAAACCACCCUCUGCUA